RNAcentral lists this long non-coding RNA (751 nucleotides) under Setaria viridis. RNAcentral describes it as "long non-coding RNA (SVIR_LNC006276)". Lineage: Eukaryota; Viridiplantae; Streptophyta; Magnoliopsida; Poales; Poaceae. The record is from RNAcentral.
CCAGUUCAUUCUUUUCUUCAUCAUUAUUUGAACUUAUCAUGGUUGCAUUAUAUUGACACCAUGUCGCCAUCCUCCACAGCGUUUCUCUCUUAUCCUUUUCCUGGAGCAUGCAAAUUUUCAGUUCUAAUCGGCAAUUUUUUUUUUACCUUUUUGGCUUGCUCCUGUCCACCUGGUGGGUUCUUUUCUCCUCGUGUGUCAUCAUUUUCUUUCAGCAUGGCCAUAAUUUACUUUGUUUUUUUGACGGUGAGCAUAGCGCUGGAUAGCUUAAUCAAUUUAUUAAUACAAGCUUAAAACUGAAGAAAAAUCAUGUGCGCUGAGCAUACAUAAAUAUGUCACUCAUUCAACCAGGUUGGUGGAUAGACAAUGUAGCACACUAUGGGUCUGUGCGACAAAUGGAUACUACUCCUUCCGUCCCAAAUUACUAUUCGUUUUGACUUUUCUAGGUACAAAAGUUUUGCUACGUAUCCAGAUAUAAUACAAUAUCUAUGAGCACAACAAAAGGUAUGUAUCUAGAAAAGUCAAAACGAAUAAUAAUUUAGGAUGGAGGAAGUACUCAUUAUAACAUCUCCAUACAUAUGUUGAGAAAGACACAUUGAUUCUCUUUCGUAGCUUUAGAAUUUGCUACCAUCAAUCUUGAUGUGACACUGAAGUCCAAAUAUCAGAUCUUUUAUUGCCUCCUACCACUAUAUUAUUUUCCCCACUUCCCUCUCGAGAAAUGGCGUUCAUCCUUUUUUUAAAUCAUAUUUAAAUC